CGUAUAGAGCCCAUUAUAAGCUGAAUGUGAAUACACUCGUAACAUCACCAACUAUAGGUACAUGACCUAAAUGUUAUCGGAAAACAGUAAGUUUUCCGAUUUUAUGAAUUUAUGAAUUCAUAGAAACAUGGAACACACAUUCACUAUUACGAGGAAAUACUGGCCGAUUUUUGCAAUCAUCUAGUCAACAGAGAUAAAUUACCGUGUAAUACUGAAUAACAGCAGCCCGGCAUCAGCAGGUAUACUGCCAGCGAAACAUGUCGAACGAUCAGCUGGACACUUCGUAAAACGUCCCUACAAAUGAACAUCUCGAUUCUAAGGAAUUUUUAGGGAAUUCCGUUUGAACAUCUCAGUACGAAUGAACAGUGGAAAGGACAAGUCCGAGGGCGCGAAAUUUCAAAACUCAACGUUUAAUGGGGCCGUCAUAACGGAACAAGAACAAGACAAAAGGCUUGCGAAGCUUCUACUUACGUAGGGACAGCAAAAUGGUAGAGUUACGACUGUCGACCAUUGGAGUCAUU
This is a long non-coding RNA of Varroa destructor (honeybee mite), 521 nucleotides long. RefSeq lists it as uncharacterized. NCBI's taxonomy places the organism in Eukaryota, Metazoa, Arthropoda, Arachnida, Mesostigmata, Varroidae. The record is from RefSeq and is a predicted model, not a curated record.